CUUGAACGCUGGCGGCAGGCCUAACACAUGCACGUCGAACGAGUGGCGGACGGGUGCGUAAUGUCUGGGAAACUGCCCGAUGGAGGGGGAUAACGACUGGAAACGGUAGCUAAUACCGCAUACCAUCGGAUGUGCCCAGAUGGGAUUAGCUAGUAGGUGGGGUAACGGCUCACAUAGGCGACGAUCCCUAGCUGGUCUGAGAGGAUGACCAGCCACACGGGAACUGGGACACGGUCCAGACUACUACGUGAGGCAGACGUGGGGAAUAUUGCACAAUGGGCGCAAGCCUGAUGCAGCCAUGCCGCGUGUAUGAAGAAGGCCUUCGGGUUGUAAAGUACUUUCAGCGAGGAGGCGUUACUCGCAGAAGAAGCACCGGCUAACUCCGUGCCAGCAGCCGCGGUAAUAC
RNAcentral lists this ribosomal RNA (406 nucleotides) under uncultured bacterium. RNAcentral's name for it is "partial 16S ribosomal RNA". It matches the Rfam family "Bacterial small subunit ribosomal RNA", at positions 30 to 526 of the family's 1533-position model. The record is from RNAcentral.